GAUGAAGAACGUAGUGAAAUGCGAUAAGUAAUGCGAAUUGCAGAAUUCAGUGAAUCAUCGAAUCUUUGAACGCACAUUGCGCCCCCUGGUAUUCCGGGGGGCAUGCCUGUUCGAGCGUCAUUUCACCACUCAAGCCUCGCUUGGUAUUGGGCAACGCGGUCCGCCGCGUGCCUCAAAUCGACCGGCUGGGUCUUCUGUCCCCUAAGCGUUGUGGAAACUAUUCGCUAAAGGGUGUUCGGGAGGCUACGCCGUAAAACAACCCCAUUUCUAAGGUUGACCUCGGAUCAGGUAGGGAUACCCGCUGAACUUAAGCAUAUCAAUAAGCGGAGGA
Molecule: unclassified non-coding RNA, 331 nt
Filed under: soil metagenome
Description: partial contains 5.8S ribosomal RNA, internal transcribed spacer 2, and large subunit ribosomal RNA
Rfam family: 5.8S ribosomal RNA (bases 1-120)
Source: RNAcentral